Molecule: ribosomal RNA, 253 nt
Filed under: uncultured bacterium
Lineage: Bacteria
Description: partial 16S ribosomal RNA
Rfam family: Bacterial small subunit ribosomal RNA
Source: RNAcentral
UACAGAGGGGGCAAGCGUUGUUCGGAAUUACUGGGCGUAAAGGGCGCGUAGGCGGCCCUCUAAGUCAGACGUGAAAUCCCUCGGCUUAACCGGGGAACUGCGUCUGAUACUGGAUGGCUCGAGUGUGGGAGAGGGAUGCGGAAUUCCAGGUGUAGCGGUGAAAUGCGUAGAUAUCUGGAGGAACACCGGUGGCGAAGGCGGCAUCCUGGACCAUAACUGACACUGAUAAGCGAAAGCCAGGGGAGCAAACGGG